CAGUAGCCGCGGGAAUACGUAGGUGGCAAGCGUUGUCCGGAAUUAUUGGGCGUAAAGGGCUCGCAGGCGGUUUCUUAAGUCUGAUGUGAAAGCCCCCGGCUCAACCGGGGAGGGUCAUUGGAACCUGGGAAACUUGAGUGCAGAAGAGGAGAGUGGAAUUCCACGUGUAGCGGUGAAAUGCGUAGAGAUGUGGAGGAACACCAGUGGCGAAGGCGACUCUCUGGUCUGUAACUGACGCUGAGGAGCGAAAGCGUGGGGAGCGAACAGGAUUAGAUACCCCGGUAGUCCCUGUCUCUUAUAC
Molecule: ribosomal RNA, 301 nt
Filed under: uncultured bacterium
Lineage: Bacteria
Description: partial 16S ribosomal RNA
Rfam family: Bacterial small subunit ribosomal RNA
Source: RNAcentral